AUAUAAAUAUUUACUUUACAAUACUUAAUAGAAAACUCUGGUUCAUAAUCACUUUAUGAUUGUAUAAACAAAAUAAAAAGGGUAAAAAAAUACGUACUGCUGAAAAUAUGUCAUAUUUUCCUUUUUUUUCUAUCUUUUAUGAGUAAUAUUCUUUCUUAUCUAUCAAAUGUAUAAAUCAAGUGAUUUCUGAUAUAGGUUGAUCUUUUGAUGGUUACACAUCUCUAACUCUCUCAUUUUGUCACUCUAUUCAUCUGUGUUUCUUCUUAUUUUCAAUUUUAUUCUUGCGUCACCAAUGAUUAUUAUAGGGUUUUCGUAUUAUUUUGAUGAGAUUGAGAUGGUUGUUAGGAUUAUAAGGAUCUCAAAAUAAUAAAGAUGUUGCUAAUGUAACACUGGAAAAAUGAUUGAGUUGGUUUCCUUUAUAACAUACAGUCACAUUUUCAUUUUCUUGUAAUUAUUCUAUUUUCAUUUUUUCUUUCUCAUUUUCUUGUAAUUAUUCUUUUUUCUUUUUUUCUUUUUCAUUUUCUACUUAUAAUUAGUAUUUUAGAAUAUUUUUAAAUCUACAUAACUUAUGUUAAUUGUUUAAUUAUCAGAAUAUAGAAGAUGACAUUUUAUGUUCUUUAGGAUAUAAGUAUAUAUUUAAUAAAUUUUGAUGUUCAAUACAUAUCUUUC
RNAcentral lists this long non-coding RNA (669 nucleotides) under Lathyrus oleraceus (garden pea). RNAcentral describes it as "Pisum sativum (pea) long non-coding RNA (PSAT_LNC030848)". The record is from RNAcentral. Lineage: Eukaryota; Viridiplantae; Streptophyta; Magnoliopsida; Fabales; Fabaceae.